UGAGGAAUUUUGCGCAAUGGCCGCAAGGCUGACGCAGCAACGCCGCGUGGGUGAUGAAGGCCUUCGGGUCGUAAAGCCCUGUCAGGUGGGAAGAAAGGCCUUAAGGAGAAAGACUUGAGGUUUGACGGUACCACCAGAGGAAGCACCGGCUAACUCCGUGCCAGCAGCCGCGGUAAUACGGAGGGUGCGAGCGUUAUUCGGAAUUACUGGGCGUAAAGCGCGUGUAGGCGGGGGGACAAGUCUGAUGUGAAAGCCCUGGGCUUAACCUGGGAAGCGCAUUGGAAACUGUUUUUCUUGAGUACUGGAGAGGAAGGGGGAAUUCCCGGUGUAGAGGUGAAAUUCGUAGAGAUCGGGAGGAAUACCAGUGGCGUAGGCGCCCUUCUGGACGGUAACUGACGCUGAGACGCGAAAGCGUGGGGAGCAAACA
Molecule: ribosomal RNA, 427 nt
Filed under: uncultured prokaryote
Description: bacterial SSU rRNA
Rfam family: Bacterial small subunit ribosomal RNA
Source: RNAcentral